Molecule: non-coding RNA, 110 nt
Organism: Triangularia verruculosa
Lineage: Eukaryota; Fungi; Ascomycota; Sordariomycetes; Sordariales; Podosporaceae
Source: the annotation of a GenBank genome assembly
GGCAAGGUGGCCGAGCGGUCUAAGGCGCCAGGUUCAGGUCCACUUGAACUUACUCUCCAGAGUAUUUCCUGGUCUCGCAAGAGGCGUGGGUUCGAAUCCCACCCUUGUCA